RNAcentral lists this ribosomal RNA (253 nucleotides) under uncultured bacterium. Its description in RNAcentral is "partial 16S ribosomal RNA". It matches the Rfam family "Bacterial small subunit ribosomal RNA", at positions 524 to 776 of the family's 1533-position model. The record is from RNAcentral.
UACAGAGGUCUCAAGCGUUGUUCGGAUUCAUUGGGCGUAAAGGGUGCGUAGGUGGUGGGGUAAGUCGGAUGUGAAAUCCCGGGGCUCAACCCCGGAACUGCAUUCGAUACUGCCUUGCUCGAGUACUGGAGAGGAGACUGGAAUUUACGGUGUAGCAGUGAAAUGCGUAGAGAUGUGGAGGAAUACCGAUGGCGAAGGCAGCCCCCUGGGCCAAUACUGACGCUCAUGCACGAAAGCGUGGGGAGCAAACAGG